UGGGCGUUGGCAUAGGCGGCGAAACCGGUGCCCUGGACAUCGGAGUCCAGACCGGCAGCGGUGGACAGCUGGGUCACGACCAGCGCGCCCGCC
RNAcentral lists this transfer RNA (93 nucleotides) under Streptomyces sp. AVP053U2. RNAcentral describes it as "tRNA-Gln". The record is from RNAcentral. Lineage: Bacteria; Bacillati; Actinomycetota; Actinomycetes; Kitasatosporales; Streptomycetaceae.